GGGGAAGUCGGCAAAACCG
RNAcentral lists this unclassified non-coding RNA (19 nucleotides) under Dictyostelium discoideum. The record is from RNAcentral. Lineage: Eukaryota; Evosea; Eumycetozoa; Dictyosteliales; Dictyosteliaceae.